This 702-nucleotide long non-coding RNA is filed under the name Mytilus galloprovincialis (Mediterranean mussel). Lineage: Eukaryota; Metazoa; Mollusca; Bivalvia; Mytilida; Mytilidae. The record is from RNAcentral.
ACUUUUAAAGUAUUACUGUCACUUUCAUCCUUCUGGCAACAAUUUGAACAGGAUUCAGUCAGCUGAGACAGAUUAAACUGGUCCAACUCUUUACACUGUGAACAUACCAAACUUGGUGCAAACCCCAAUGACCUGCAUUCGUCAGCUGACAGCAGACUACUUUUUACAUCAUCAAAAUACAACUAGAAAAAAAUAAUAAAUUAAUUAUAACAAUAAAUAGCAUUAUUAGGUAUAGGGAUAAACUAAGCUCAAGCAAUUAAUUUCAAAGCAUUUUAUAAAUUUUAAGAUAUAAUAAAUAUAUGUAUUUUCAAAAAUAUAUUGGUAUAGCCAUCAUUUCAUGAGGUAUGUGUAGCUAAGGUGCAUUUGUACCUAAAAACCGAAAUAUCAUUACCAUGAUUACACCUUAUUGCUUUUUGGAAAUCUGCGAUGGUUGACCUGAGAAUCUGCAAAUCUGGGUCUGUUCGCGCCCAAUCACACUCGCACCCAAUCACGUUCGCCCCCUUUCACUUUCGAGCCCAAUUUUUGUUUGUUUUGUGUUUAAUAACUUUUUUUAAUCAAAGUUAGGCAAGUGUAUUCCUAUAAGUGUAUUUGUUGUCAUUGUCUUAAAUUAAAGUGAGACAACGUUGGGUUUUUUUUGUGGUGAAUAAAUCUUAAUCUUGUUUUGGUUAGUGUAUAACUAACUUUUAUUUCAUUGUUUCAAAA